This 465-nucleotide ribosomal RNA is filed under the name uncultured bacterium. RNAcentral describes it as "partial 16S ribosomal RNA". It matches the Rfam family "Bacterial small subunit ribosomal RNA", at positions 338 to 795 of the family's 1533-position model. The record is from RNAcentral.
CCUACGGGAGGCAGCAGUGGGGAAUAUUGCGCAAUGGGCGAAAGCCUGACGCCGCGACGCCGCGUGAGGGAUGAAGGUCUUCGGAUCGUAAACCUCUGUCAGCAGGGAAGAACGGUCACUGUGCUAAUCAGCAGUGCAUUGACGGUACCUGCAAAGGAAGCACCGGCUAACUCCGUGCCAGCAGCUGCGGUAACACGGAGGGGGCGAGCGUUAAUCGGAAUUUCUGGGCGUAAAGCGCUCGUAGGCGGUAUGUCAAGUCAAGGGUGAAAUCCCCGCGCUCAACGUGGGAACUGCCUGUGAAACUGGCAAACUGGAGUGUGUGAGAGGAUAGUGGAAUUCCAGGUGUAGGAGUGAAAUCCGUAGAUAUCUGGAGGAACAUCAGUGGCGAAGGCGACUAUCUGGCACAUAACUGACGCUGAGGAGCGAAAGCGUGGGUAGCAAACAGGAUUAGAUACCCGGGUAGUC